Molecule: ribosomal RNA, 262 nt
Filed under: uncultured archaeon
Lineage: Archaea
Description: partial 16S ribosomal RNA
Rfam family: Archaeal small subunit ribosomal RNA
Source: RNAcentral
AGACGUCUACAUUAGAUACCCGGGUAGUCCCAGCCGUAAACUAUGCGCGUUAGGUGUAUCGGUGACCACGAGUCACCGAGGUGCCGAGGAAACCGUGAAACGUGCCGCCUGGGAAGUACGGUCGCAAGGCUGAAACUUAAAGGAAUUGGCGGGGAGCACCACAACGGGUGGAGCCUGCGGUUUAAUUGGACUCAACGCCGGGAAGCUCACCGGAUAAGACAGCGGAAUGAUUGCCGGGCUGAAGACUCUGCAUGACUAGCUG